GCGACCCCGCCGAGGGCGAAGCCAACCACAGAAAAGACCAUCUCAGUUCGGAUUGUAGUCUGAAAUUCGCCUUCAUGAAGCCGGAAUUGCUAGUAAUGGCAGGUCGGCAUACUGCCGUGAAUACGUUCCCGGGCCUUGUACACACCGCCCGUCACACCAUGAGAGUUGGGAAUACCCGAAGCCUGUGAGCUAACGCAAGAGGCAGCAGUCGAAGGUAGAAUCAAUGAUUGGGGUGAAGUCGUAACAAGGUAGC
This 253-nucleotide ribosomal RNA is filed under the name uncultured bacterium. Its description in RNAcentral is "partial 16S ribosomal RNA". It matches the Rfam family "Bacterial small subunit ribosomal RNA", at positions 1249 to 1500 of the family's 1533-position model. The record is from RNAcentral.